Molecule: long non-coding RNA, 2134 nt
Filed under: Olea europaea (common olive)
Lineage: Eukaryota; Viridiplantae; Streptophyta; Magnoliopsida; Lamiales; Oleaceae
Description: long non-coding RNA (OEUR_LNC004333)
Source: RNAcentral
UCGAAACUCAGUUAUAAACAUGCAAACACGUUUUACAAAAUGUGUGGUUGGAAGAAUGAGUACGAGAAUUAAUAUAAAAUUCAUUUUAAAGGGAGACAAAACAUGGGCUAAACCAACAAGAUUUACUAUCCAACCCAACAAUUAAAAAAAGACUAAAAUAAAAAGAGAAAAAAUAAACAUUUCUUCCUUCAUUUACAUUUUACAUAGACAAAUUGGGCGGAAAAAGUGUGUUGAGAGUUGAAGGUUACUAAUGCAAAUCAGUACCAUCAAUUGCUGAAAACAAGAUUGGCCAACUUGAGGGUGGCAAAUUACUUUAUAUCUUCAGAAACAAGAUUGCCCAACUUGAAAGUGGCAGAUAAGUCCAAAUCUAAAUCCUACAUUGAAAAGGAAUAUUAUUGUUAGUACGCAUAAAAAAUCUUAUCAAUGAAAAUUGACUUACAGGUGAAAUUAACCCCCCAAAAAAAGAAAAAGAAAAAAGAAAAAAAGAGAGGGAAUUUACAUGGUAUGAUUGUUUGGAAAUGAAUAGCUCAUUUCUAUCUUUCUUUGUGUUCUUAGGAUAUAUCCUCUUGUCAUGAUCUAACCCUUUGUAUAAUGCACAUUGACACCUUUUAUUUUUCUGUGUCAACUCACUACUUGAUUUAAAGUUUAAACCUUCUUGAACCAACGUUACAUUUCUCAUCCUUUUUUCGUCCUUUUUGUGACUGAAACCUUGGGAUCCGAUAGCACAAAUUGAGAACUCUCCUCGUAUAAAUAUCUAAUUCCUAUGGGGAAGAAUCGACGUGAGUCUCUGUUUCAAUAUUUAUGCCAUAAACAAUUGGUAUCCUUCAUUUGGUAGCAUGACAAGCUGAGUGAGUGUAGCUUUUCUACGCCCAAUGUUUCACAUAAAUGGAAAACACGCACGACAUGACACAAAGAAAGGAGGGUGGAGAAAUUCAACUUUGCUUCAUGCUGCUGCGUCAAGGGUUUGAAUCCUGAAAUAUGAAUUUGGCUCUUGGAUAAGUGUAAGUGUACAAACAGCCUUCCACUCUGUACCUUUGGAGGCAUAACCUGUUAUUUACCUCCCUCACGAUACUUCAGGGCAGGAGCGGUGGGGGAUCCUUAAGGUUGGGGUUCAACCUUUAAGAAAUGCUAUUUAUUGAGAUAAAAAAAAAGGGACAUGAAAUGUUGGGAAACGUUAUAUUAAAAUUAUUAAUUUAAUUUCAUAAAAUUAACAUUCAACUUUUAAAAACUCUAUAAUAUAAAUUAAAUAACAAAUAUUCCAUAAUCUAUGCAACUAAGAUCUUGACAUAAAAUUAUUGUCAUCUCAAAAGUCAAAACAAUUAUUGAUGAUGAAUCAAUACUCAAUCUAAAAAAAAUUCAUAAGUUCUCAAAUCUAGUUGCUUAGCUGCAUCAUCACCGUCAAUAUCUAUAACACUAUCAUCAGCAUCAUUGAAUAGCAUGAACUCCAUCUCUAAUUCAUCUAAAGAAAGCUUUGCAAUAUUCAGCGUUCCAACAUCUUCAAAAGAGUCAAAUUGACCCCAAAAGUAUUAACAUAUGAAUACUACUCUCUAAUAAUAUAUUAAUAUCGAAACUAAAUCUACUAAUGAAUAUCGAUGUACAAACGACAAACUUAAAAGUAAUUUUCAAACAACUUAUUUAUGCAAUUUAAUGUAAAAAAACUCAAAUAUAUAGUGAAUUACUUGCUUUGCUCAAAGUGGGAAUGAUUGCUCUAUACACGUCUAGUAUCUUCCUCAAUGUCUAUAGACUCUCAAAAAACAAUCACACGAUAAUCAGGAUAUUUAGGUUUAUGCUAAAAUCUAGUAUUAUAAUACUAUAAUUUAAGUUAAUUUUAAGCCAAAUUCCAUAAGUAAGCCAAACUCCAUAAUCUAGUACCACGAAUCAUCAAAUCGAAACGAAUAUUGAAUGAAAACAAAAAUUGAAAAGGAGAUUCAAAAUAAAUAAUUUCCAAUCGUUAACCUUUUUUUUGGCUGCAAAUCUUCAGCCUUAAUUCUCCGUUGAUGCCAAUUUCACAAACCCGUUUCUUGAGAUUCCAAUCACCAUUUAGAAGCGAAGAAUGGUUACAGAUGGUGCAAUUAUUUUAUUUUAUUUUUUCAAAAAGGGCUUAUGAAAAGGUAAUUGGUGAUUUUUAAGGUUA